Molecule: long non-coding RNA, 1496 nt
Organism: Hemicordylus capensis (graceful crag lizard)
Lineage: Eukaryota; Metazoa; Chordata; Lepidosauria; Squamata; Cordylidae
Exons: 3
Source: RefSeq, a predicted model, not a curated record
CAAAACCAACAGGUCUGCCUUACCUGUGGCCUCGACCCCACAACAACAUUUUUAAAAAAGAAAGGGAGGUUCGAGACAUUGAAACGCUUCCGUAAGAUGAAUGAGAAGAAGAGCAGGAAGAGGAAAAGGCCAUAUGAUCCAGGAGAAGGCCCAAGGAUCAAACGGAGGAGAAUCUGGCCCUAGUGACGUUUGUAUUUCAUGUUAUUACAUAUACUUCUUGUUAUUAUAGAUCCAAGUCAACUUGUACAAAAUCCCCCUCCCCUUGGCCUCGUGCGGAGGGGAGGGAGUUUGUCCCAGCCCUGCCCCGCACGAGGCCCAAGAAGCGGGCCGAUUGGCUCCCUUGAAAUUGGAGGCGUGGUCUCGGCCGUAAUCGGCCGAUCCACGGCCCAAGCUCUUCAGUUUUGCCUUGGCAAUCCCCUCCCUCCCUUCCUUCCCUGAUGCAGAGCGGGUCUAGCGGCUGGUCGCCUGCGGGGGCCGAGUAGGAAUUUUUUGCUCUCAACGCAUUGGCCACCGUUGGGGUUUUUUUCGCCUACUCCGUUCUGUACUCAGGUGUUUAGUUAGAGUUAGAGUUGGCAGUAACAGUGCGGGCUGAGGGGUAAGUUGAGGGUUAGAAUAUCGGUGAGCACCCUUGGAUCUUUAAAGGUUGAUUGGUCAAUUGCUCCUUUGUGGCCUGUGCGGCACGGGGAGAAUAGAUUGCCAUGAAACCUGCUUCAGGACUUCACCAACCUUUGGGCUGUGCAGUGCCAAAACAAAGACGCCCAAAUCUCAGCACCCAGUCUCUGGCAGAGUUGGGCUGUGCAGUCCAGGGUGGGUGAACACCUUGAAGUAUCCAGAUCCCCUCUUCUAAAGGGGGCGGUUGGCUCUGAAGGAAUUAGGCGGGGCGUACCUGCCUGUUUCCUGAGCCAGGGUGUGUCGCCCAGUGAGGCGAUGGGUAGGACGUUAGAGUCCUAGCCCGAGCCUAAGGGCCCGCACUGUUCUCUAAGGGUGAUUAAUCACCUGGCAUUCUAGUCCGCCAGGUCUGUUGUUUCUUUAAUAAAAUUGUGGUCCUUUCACCCAUAAAAAAGUCUACGUGUCUUCUUGGGCUGGGGUCUGGGGACAACCUACUAUUUGUUUCUUUAUUGACGUCUACUCCUACUUGGAUUGAUAUGCUGUUGCUAUACUGGAACUGCAUUUGACCUGACCACUGUGAAACCGCCUUCCGCUGCCAUUGCUUCACCAUAUUUAAAGCAGCAAGUAGUUCCAAAGGACUUGCUUCUAUGUCUUCAUCCUUUUUGACCAUCCACACUUUUUAUAGUACCUGCAUAAGUCUUUUCAAAAAGAAAGCUGGUUUACUAGCACAGAAAGGAUCAGUUUGAGCAGGUUCAUCAAUAUCCUUGAAGGUGGUCUUUGUCGGCAUGAAGCCAAAUGUGAAGAAACUGAAUUGGUUCCUAUACUAAUAUCGAUGUGAAGCCUACUUAAUUUCUAAGGACGUCUUUGUGCCCUGGUUUUAUAUACUU